UGAGGCUGUCAGGAAUACGAAGAGAACUCCCCUGCUCCAUCUGCUCAGCAAACUUUCAUCGUCCGUACGGGCUCUUUUAAUGCACUUCUAACGCUGCUUCUGUGUGAAUACACACCGCUACACACUGACUGGACAGUGACAUUCUCUCAGAAUGCCACUGUAUCCCCUUGGGGGCUGCCUGUGGGAUAAGAACUUGAAAGAAGUGGAAGGAGUCCUGCCCCUCUUCCCAGCCUUCCUUCUAACCAAGCAGCUUCCCUCCAACAGACCUACUUCAAAAGUCCAGACCCAGUGAAGUCACACAUGACCUCAUAAACCUCCCACUUAACUGUUUAAAAGCCAGAGCAGAGCUGGUAACCGGGAGAGACAGCAGAUUCCUCAGCAGAAUUGGGGUAGUUGCCGUUUAAGGAGGGGAAGUGUUCCUUCAACACCAUUCUAAAAUAAGUUGCUUGAACACAGUCUUUUAUAACAGCCCCGAGGUUUUUAAAGUACUGUGUUAAAAAGACACAAUUCCUAAUAGCUCACUUAUUCUGACUGAACUAGCCUACAAAACAAACUUAGUUCCUUUAUUUGACAACUAGUUAAAGGCAUGUUUGAUACCUACUGCAGUGGCUGGUGUUUUUCUAUUUUCAUUCUGACUUGGUUUCUGUUCUUUUCUGUAAUUGCCCUGUGAAAAUAUUUAUUGUCCUUUUGUUCAAAUUCCACUAUGGUCAGCCAAAAGUGGACAGGCCGCAUUCACAGCUGUCAGACAAGGGCAACAACUGCCACAAAAGCAUCUGAGGGGAGAACAGGGACAGGAGUAAUUGAGAAAUCUGAUCCAGACCCAGUCUCCAGACUCAACUAAUGGAUACCAGAGUCUCUACCAGAGCUCCUAAAGGGAGAGGGGAAUCAAUUAACUGCAAUGUUUUCUUUGCCAAUUUUCCCCUGACCUGGGCUAUUUUGUAAGAGAAGUGGGAACUAAGAGUUAGCUUAUAAACAGAAACACAGAAACACUGCAUAUGCUCAAAGAAAAUGGAGUAUGUAUAUCCAAGAGUAUAAGUUCACCAAAAACUAAUUACACUUUCCAUAAAUUUUUAUUCCGAAAUAUGUACCUAAGCCUAGAGAAAAAUUCCCAUAUUUACACAGGAAGCUAUUAUACAAAAUAAGUAUGUAUUGCCAUGUUCUUAGAGAUAAUAAUACAACUAUAAGAAAAUGGAAACAUAAUUAAAAUGCAUUCAUAUAAUGACUUUUAUAGCAAUUAACCUAUAAGGUAGGGCUUUAAAGUAAAUAAAUGUAUUUUAGAUGUUGGGUGGGCGGGGACGGUGAUACCACAGGAAACAAAGAGACAACAUCUAUAUGCAGUCUAAACGUGUGAAAAGACACUCUCUAAAGUCCAUGGACACAGUCUGAGAGGAAUGAUAAACAUCAACACUCCAGUCAGCCUGCCCCAGGGACGGAAAGGGGUGAAAGGUGGUCCUGAGUCUCUAAUCCAGAUGUGAUGUUUUCUUUCCCAAAGUGAAUGAUGAAACCACAGGCUUAUUAUUUUCUGCACUUGGACUUGGACUAGGCUGUGUGAUACCUACACUUUAAAGAGAAACAGUACCUGUUCAGGAUGGAGAUGAAUAGAAAAUAAGAUUCAUUCCUGACUCCCAGUUGCUAAAGUCCAAGCACCUGCUGCUGAUUCUAUCCAAGUCUCUAUGUCUUUAUCUGCCUGCCUGCCUGUCUGGUUUUUGUCUAUCUGUCCCCUCUUAGCCCUUCUAUUGUUCCCUCCCUGUCUCACAGCCCAACAACCAGUUCCACAUAUCCUCUAAGGCCUACCUCAAAAGGCAACACUUCCAGAAGAGUGUCUGUGACACAACAUUGCAGCUACCCUGGCCUGGGGCCUCAGCCUGGCUCCCCAGGCCCAGCACUCCAAUUAUCCCGGAAGCAGCUGAGAACAGUUGUUCCUUAAGUUGUUCAGGCAAUAAGAUGAGUGUCCAAUGCAUCCCCCACCAUUGUAUCAGAGAUUUCUCUGAGGCUUCAAAAUAAGAUCUGAGAAGUUUAUAGCCUAGUAAGUGAGAUGGACCUAUACUGAAGUAUAAUAUUAUUAAAACCCUAAAAUACGUAGGUGAUUGUCAAGUGAAAUAUACUUCUAAGAUUUGUUUCACAAUUAUUUCAUUCAAUACUCUUCUCCUCUCUAUCCUAAAGACUAUAAUAUUAAUCUUGGCCAAAAAAAAAAGUCACACUAUUUGUGUUGAGCUGAGGCUAAUAAAUAGAAUAUUUAAAGACAAUAAGAAAGCUAUUAUAACUCCUUACAUUUCCAAGAAAUCUUGGGCUCUUAAAACUAUCAUUACACAUACAUAAUAUACUAAGCCCAUCUAACCAUAGUCCAUUCAUAUAGAAUGACCUUGAAGAUGUUAUAGAGAUAAUUCAAACACUAUUAUUAUUGAUCAAAAAAAAUUUUGAGGGCUCACAACAUUUUAGUAAAUUGUCAACUCAUAUGAGUAUCUCAAACAAAAAAUAGGAAUAAACUGUGAACUUAAGAAUGCACAGGCUUCACCACUAAACAUGUUAGUCAGCUUUCCACUGCUGUGGGGGAAAAAUGCCUGAGACAAUUUGAAAACAGAAAAGAUCUAUUUGGAAUGACAAUUUCACAGGUUUCAGUCCCAUUGCUUUAUACCUGUAGCAAGGCAAACCCAUGAUGAUAUAUGGGUGUGUAUGAAACCAAACAAAACUGUUUACCUCAUGAAGGCUGAAUGAAGGAGGACUUGAGUCCUAUCACUCCUAUCAAGGGCAUGCCCUCCCUCUCAUGACGUCACUUUCUCCAACGAGGCCCAGAUCUCAAAGGUCCACCCAUACCCCAAUAGCAUCACAGGCUAGCAACCAAGCUCUGGAGGACAGUUAAGAGCCAAGCUGUAGCAUUCCACUUUCCCAGAUUAAAAAAAAAAAAAAAAAAAAAAGGCAUUCCCUGUAUUUCUAGGGAGAAGAUUAGCACCAUUUGUACUCUAUCAGACGUACAAGAAAUCAUGUGUAUACUCAUACGCUCACUUUUUCUCAGCUCUGUAGGGAAGAUCCUACCCACCACGAGCACAUUACUGUAAUAGACCUUCAAGGAUUUCAUGCUACUCAGCUUUGAACUCUGCCUCUCAUCAGGUCCCAGUAGUUCUUAAACUUCAAAGUGCUUACAAGGCCCACUGAAAUGUAACUAAGUAAUCCAGGGUGAGGUAUGGAUCACCCUAAACUGAUGCCUAUGCUGCUAGUCUGAUGACCAUACUAGGAGUGGCAGGGGACUUCACAACCUAGGCUUCACAUCACAAUCACCUGGCAAGCUGUCCAUGUGCUCCCCCACCCCCACCCCGGAAGGAAGACAGUCCUGGAGAACCAGAAACUGAGAGAGAUGCACCUAUUUCUAACAUGUCCUCAGUUUUGAGAACUGUAAUUCUAAAACUGUACAGCUCAAACAUGCUCUAUGGCCCAAUGGGUCCAAACUUCAAUGUGUGUGUGUGUACACGUGCGUGCAUGCGUGCGCACAAAUGGUAUUGUUGUUAUUGUGUGUGUGAUGUGUAUGGGAACACACGGGAUAUGACUCAUAUAUAAAGGACAGUUUUUAGAGUGGGUUCUCUCUUCCCAUCUUUGCAUAGGUUCCACGGAUCAAAUUCAGAUUGCCAGCUUUGCACAGCAAGUACUUCUGCCAACUGAGUCAGCUCCCCAGGCCCCAGAGAACUAUUUCUUCAAAGAAGCCUGUAUCUUUUCCCUUCCCACAAGCAAGCAUUAGUGUGGAACAUCUAGUUUUAUAGAUAGGGCAUUAAUGAACCUCUGCUGAAAGAAUGUUAUCACUUCCUCUGACAGUUAAAUAUUGUACUGAUAGUGACUUGCUCAGACAUCAUCAGAGAAGCAUCUUUUUGUAGCAGAUGGGAAAAAAAUAGAGACACACAGCCAGACAGAAUGAGAGGCCUUGGAACACUCAGCCCUAAGCUGGCUGUCUAUAUCAAACCCCUUCCCUCAGGGCCCAGGAAAUCCUGAGGAAAAGGAAGAGGAAGAGGAAAGAGUGUUUAGUUCAUGGAAGACUCUAAAAUAUAUGAAGUCUUCAUCCCACCUGAAAGAGAAGAGCUCCUAUUCUGUCUUUUUAAGCAUCUCUGUCUCAGAGGGGUCUCUUCGUCAGUAUAAAGAUGCUUAUGUCAUAUCCGGAGAUGACAAAGCUAAUCUGUAAGGAUCUGGUGAGUCCUCGGAAGCGUCUUUAAACCAAGGAAACAUAAAUCUCUUCUUCAGUCUUUGAAGGGAUAGCCUACAACGCUGCUGCUGUGCUACCCUUCAGCUAAAAGCAGGCGUAGACAUCUUAGUCAGAUUCCAAGCAUCCUGUGAAUGUCUUAAACCAUUGCUACUGUGUGGGGGAGACGGCUUAGCAUUGUUUAAAGCAUCGGCUACUGCUGUUCCUUAGUUCACCGUGUCUCUGUGUCAGCACUAAUGGAUGGAUAGAUGUGCUCUUUGCGGAUCAAUCGAAGACCAUUGUAAAGAGACUAUUUCUAGCUGAAGGAAGCAAACACUAAAGUGACUUUCUCUAAAUCUGCCAAGCAUACAGACACAUACAGAAAUCCCUGAUAGAAUCUGUAUAAAGCAAGAACUCACACAUUCCUCUUUUUUCUGGAAAGGUACAGAUGCAUUCUCAAUUUUCCAUUUCUUAAAAUUGCGUUAGUGGUUUUGAGGGUGAGCCUUGAACUUACUAUAUAAUUGAGGCUGGUCUUAAACUCCCAAUUCUCUUGCCUGCUGAGAUCCGGACAAGUAUUGCCAGGCCUGGCUCUAUGCAUUUUGUUUGGGAAGCUAAUUAAUACUGGAUGAGAACUGUAAGGUAUAUCAGAUCAGGUUAAAUUAAAAAUCUCUACCACAAAACAACAACAACAACAAAAAAUUGUAUUGGUGUGUAUAUAAAAGAUUGUUAGCAGCAUUUCAACAAAGGGAAAUGUUAGCCAUUCGAGUUCUUUAUUUAAGGCCACAACCCCCCUUGCCAUAGCUUCUUAGCUCCACACCUUUAUCAUUUGAAGUUGUAUUUGUUAAAAGACCACCUCGCCAAUCAUCACACCAAAAUUUGGAAAGCCUGUGUAAAUUAUAUUUUGUACAAAAAAAUUAGUAGGGUCCACAAUGGACACCCGGGUUCUUCCAUGUAUAACUGUCCUCACCACCCUCCCAUUGGAAAGUGUAUAUCAGUAAGAGGGUGAUCCCGGGGUCUCUGCAAUGACCUUCAAUUCCACAGUCCAUCAACCUUCCAGUAAAUGACUGACCACACUAUUUCACAAAUGCUGAACUUGCCAGGUGACUCCUACAAACCUGGAUUCUGUAUGCAACUCCUGUGACAGUUUUGGGGUUCAGUGAGUUAGAUCUGUGUUUGAAGUCUAAAGUUACCUUGACCCAACCCCAACUGCCCCAUAUUGAAACACUGACCCAAUCUUCCUUGUACUUUUUUCUUUCCCAAGAUUUUUCUUAUCUAUUUUCCUAUUAUACUUCGAAGAAUUACUCAGACCUCUGUGUAAACCAUGAACAGAUUAAACCUCACACUCUGCAAAUUCAUACACCAAAAUUAAAUUAGUUGGUAGGGAUAUUUCUACUUCACCAAAUAAAAGACGGAUUUCCACAAAUCAAUCAAGCUGUCCAAGAUGAAGCUGCUCUUUAUCCCCAUGUUUAUGCCCCCUUCUGCAACCCCCUACCGCACAGUGCUUUGUAUAGGAAAGCCAUGUUCCAGGAAGCCUCUGAAAGCUCAGGGCUGGGAGUCUGUCUGACAGCUAGGUGUUGAGGAGUGGCUAGCUGACUUUCCCUCUCUCUUAUCAGCAGCUAUCUCAUUCUCCUACCCUUUACUAAGCCUCUGACACUCUUAGCAACCCGAUUGUCCUUUUUUGAUUUGUUUUUGUUUGUUUUUGCUUCAUCUCAUUUGUUACUUCUUCAAUUAUAAUAGUUACUAUUAAUUUUAUUUUCUCUUUGGGAGAGAUUCUGUCUUUUCACAACUACACCCCUACUAAAUAACUAAAGUAACAUUCAAAAUUAGGUUUCACUGUGAAUUCUACAGGAGCGCCCUCUCCACAAAUGCAAUAACAAAAUAAAACAAACAACUGAGCAAGAACUUUCAAAUGGGAAAACAAACAAACAACAAAAACAAAAAAAAAACCGAAAAAGUACAUAACUUCACUACUAAAACCACUUUAGAAAUUUGUGGAGAGAAUGGGAACUCCCUUUCCUGGAGAAAAAAUAUUCAGACCAUAAAAAACUUAAGAGAUUCCUGGAGCCACAUCCAGCCACUACUAAACCAGGAGGCAGCAGUGAGCCCUGCCCCGAGUGACAGAAGAACAGUUCAGAGUCCCACAAGCCUCUAGGGACACUUAGUAAAGCCGAGAUUUUUCACUCACCAGCUAGCAAACAGCACAUGAUGUUAUUCUCUUCCUUUAAUAACUAUACAUAUGCAAAUGCCUUUCUGCUUUUAGACUGGGGUGCUAGAACAUUUCCUUAGGUUAUACUUUAGCCAAUUUCUUUAUCACUGCUCUUUCAAGCUACAUCUUCCCAAGCAGAAAGCACUAAGGAAAGAAAAAGGCUGAAGAAGAAAGAGCACAGCAUUCCCUUUGAGAGGAAGGAGGAGGAAGGGCAAGAGGAAAGCAGAAAACCACAAAUAUCAACUUCAGGGGACUGAACAGAGAAGCACUUCCCUCAGGCAUAUCAGCUGCACACAGAUGCAAUUCACCUCUUCUACGGAACUCCUACCCUGAGAGAAAAAUCUAAGAAACUGAAGUAUAAAACAGAUUUUUCACACAACGAAACAUAUUUGAGAGCAGUCUCUUAUAGCUGAGAGAGCCAGGGAAGAAGCUGCUGACGUACUCCUGUAUUUGCUGUCUCACUUCACCUCUGUCCAGACCCAGUUCAGCAGAAAUGGACAUUAUUCACCAUGGUUCCUGGUGACAAGGACAACACGUGUGGCUUGCAGUCUUCAGGUCAGACAGCACUUACUGGUCAGAGUUGUGGUCAUCUCCUGAUAGGCCUGCGAGAGAGAAACACCCAGACACAAAGGAACCCAUGGGGACGUGUGUGACUGAAGGCUUACUGGAAUCAGUCCAAGUCUGACAAGGAGAUUUGCUAAAUAAGUAUUAAGAAGAAGAACUCUAGCACUUCCCCGAAUACAGACCACAUGCGCACAGAAUUGAAAUCACAGCCCCUCUCCCUACAGGAGCGACAGUAGUUUACCAUGUCUGUCAAUGUCGGCGGAAGCUUUAAAAACUACAGAGCAGCACACGAACAGCGUUCAGGUCAGAGGAUGGGAUAAGAAGCAAGCCAUUAAUUGUAGAGCAAAGUCUCUGCAACAGCACAGAGAGAAGAAAGCUUGCAGCAGGAGCCCAUCUGAGAGCAACUACUUCUCAUAAUUGUACCACCAGGAGAAAGCCUGGACUUGCGAGCAAGAGUCUUACUUUCCUGGGAAGCUGAGUCCACUGCAACAGGGUACUGUGUGCAACAGGGUACUGUGUGCAACAGGGUACUGUGUGCACUUACCAACAAUUGCCGUCAGAGAGCUGAAGAUUGGAGCUGAUGCUGCAGACACUUGGUUAGGUGUUCUUGGAUGAACUGUAUUCUGAACAACCCAUGUUGAAGCCCUGACUUCAACCACAACUGUAUUUGGAGGUCAUUACAAUGAGAUCAGCAGAUUAGGUCUUAAACUAAGGUAGCUGGUGACUUUCUAAGAAAACAAUAUGAGAGACACAGAGAGAUAGCCAAAACAAAGACCACGUGAAGACAAAGGGAGAAGGUGCCAUCUGAAGCCAUGGGAAGGGACCUCAGCAGUAUCAACUCAAUAGUCAUGGACUGCUGAUUUUUAAACACAGGAGACAGUUUAGUUCUACUGCAUAAGCCACUCAGUCUGUGGUAUGUUAAGAGCCUAGCAAAUACAUCAGGGAAACCUGGAGUAAGCAAAGGCAAAAGAGACGUUGUCUAGAGUAGACAAAUGGUAAGUCAAGGUUCCCUCUCGGGGUUCUUAAAAUCAUUACCAGAAGAACCUAAGAAUGGACUCAAAUAGAAGCUCAAAGACAAUGUUACUAGAGUUUGCCAGAAAACCCCCAGGGCAGCCCAGCUAUAAACUGCAGAGGCAGCCCAGAGGAGGAGAGGGGAGGGUGGGGGGAGCAUUCCAUUUAAGCUAGCACAGAGGUCAAGAAGCAAGCAAGGUGGGGAAGGAGAAUUUAGAGAAAGAAUAAGGAAGCUCAAAAUGCUGGGGAGAGUCCAACGGGUUACAGAAAGCAUGUUUGAAACAGAUAAAGAGGGAAAGGGGAAAUCAGGUUUUCCUGGAUACUUUCUAUGUGGCUAGAUUUACUGUUCUGGAGGAAGAAAAAUUGGAAAAAGAAAUGGUCAAAUUGUUCCACCUAUCUCUUUAGCAUGCCUUAAGCUGACCUCUCUUUCCUGGGAAUGGUCCCUGGGCCAAAUAAAUAAAUAAAUACAUACAUACAUACAUACAUACAUACAUACAAACAAACAAACAAACAAAAUGGCCAGACGUGAACUGAAACGUUGGUCUACACCCAGGCCAGAGCUUCUGCUCUCACUGCAGCACAGUGACAGAACUGUAAGCGCGAGGUGUUCCCGUUCCUAGAAUAGCAGUAAGGAUGAGGGGCUGUAUCCUUAUAGGACUCCGCAGACAGCAACGUUUAUAUAUAAAAUUAUAAACAUGUAAUUAUGAAAAGGGCCAUGAUACUUUUUAAGCAAAUAAUCUAAGAGUUAGGGUUAGGGUUAGAGAAAUCAAAAGUUUGGAGAAGCAAAGAACAAAUUCAAUCCGUACUCAGACCAGAGGAAGGGGAGUGGGAGUCAUGUGUUUAAACUCAUAAAGAGGAGUGCAGGCGUCAUUAAAUUAAGUUGCAGGACUCUCCUCUAUGAUUCAAGUGGGCCUUAAAUGCAAUGACAAGUGUCCUGGGGAAGCAAGAGAGACACCAGACAGAAACUUUGUGACAAAAAAAAAAAAAAAACCACCAAGAGGGGCUCACAGAAAAGAUGGUAAUGUUCCUGGCUUUGCAGUGAAGGAAGGGAUCCAGAGCAGAGCAGGGCAUCUGCAGUGCAAGGAAACAUUAUCUCCUGGAGUCUCCAGAGAAGCAAACUCUGGUGCUUGGGAAGAAGGGGAUAACCACUCCCUACAACUAACUCUUCCCUUUUCCCUCAGUAGGCUAACUGCAUCUUCCCAAAGUCAGUAAGGACAUCGAGCUGGGACAGGAAGCCUCUCAAGAGAAGCUAAAAGCAUCCAGGAGAACAGUAGAGGAAGUGAGAGGCUAAAUCCUUCACUUCUGAGACUGAAGAGAUGAACAUCAAAAGAAAGGGCUAAUGCAGGAAAGGGGCCACAGGGUCGGAAGAGGUGCAAAGAGCGGUAACCCUGCCUCUCAGCUAGCCCUUUUGCCGGCUUGGCUGCCAGUCUCUUUAACAGUGUGAGCAAAAGAGACAAACCUGAAUCCAUGCCCUUUUGAAAAGCCCUGGAGGUCCAUUCUCAUUUUCCUACCAGCUGCUGUCUACUGACUAUGCCAACUUCCUGAAAGCAGCUCCCCUGGGCCAAGGGCAAAUGGACACUCUGCUGCUCCCUGAGGGAGGUGGAAAUCAGAGCCUGUGCACCAAUGGGGAGAGGAGGCAGAAGCUCCAAACACAGCCCAGCCACACCACCUUUUAUCAACAAGCAUGGAAAGCUGUAGAAAUCAUAUGAAAAUAAGCCUGUCACAGACCCAAACACACCUUCCACUGACCACCUUAGCUUAGACCUGCUUCAAUUGCCUUGCAAGAGUGAAGAUUAUAUUCCCUCUGCAAGGAACUGAACCUACCUUGGAUACAAUUCUAACCUGUAAGACAGUAGAAGCUUGCUUUAUUUAUUUAUUCAUUUCUUUAUUUACUAUUCAAUCCUUUACUCAUUUACCUGUUUAUUGAGAGUGUGGUAUAAAAUGUUAGGAAGAUAAGAUGCUAAGCAUUCGUCUAAAACAGCUUUCUAUAAAACAAAGUCAAGAUACCAGAAUCAAGUUUUCCUCACAGCUUGCUCUGUUAAAAUGGCAAGUGUCUAGCUCACUAGCUGGGGAGCUUCAAAGAAAGGCUUUAAAAGAAAAUUAACAACCAAAUACUAUUAGCUCACAAUAUCCCCUCCUCCGCCUUUCCCACCAUUUCACAAUUAGUAAUGAUUGAUGGGUGGGCCUUGGCCAGCAAAUGAGCAGGCCCAGUGAGUCAAGUCUCUACUUCACCUAUCUGUCUUUACCUGCCCAAACUUACCUUUUUUUUUUUUUUUUUUUUUUUUUUGGCUGCCUCAAGCUCUGGGUCUAUGUACUGAUACAUUAAAAUUCACAAAUAAAGCAAACGAAAUUAAGGUUCACAUUUUAGAAAAUCAAAACAAAUACUCUUAAAAUUUUGAACCUGCUUGCUAGACUCCUGGUUGGCAAGGAGAACUCUAGAGCCAUCCAUCCACACCACAUGCAGUGGAUGCUCCUGACCCUAUGCUAAGCUACAUGAGCAAGGAAUGCUGGGACUAUCCAACAGCAUAAUCAGAACCCAUGAAAAUUCAAGGAGACUCUAUGAUGUUUAUAAAUGUUCCUCAGUGUAUUAUUUAAUAAACAGGAAGUGGCAAGGCACUGAAAACAAGCAAUACGCACAGAAUGUUGUAAGAAACUCCCCCCAAAACAGCAUCUAUAUGGUUGAGGCAAAGAGGGACACCAAAAAGAACACUAGGUCCGAAAAACAGAAAUGAACACAAAAAUGAUACCAAGACUCAGGUAAACAUUCAUUAUUCGUGGCCUAGAUGAAUUGCUUAUCAAAAUUUUAUUUUAAAAAUAUAUAGAUAGCAAAAUCUAUUAUGUGGGUACUUCUGUUAAAUACUAAAAGUUACAUUAGUAGUUCACUAAUAAAAUCAUUUCUUCAAACUGCCCUGGUAAGGUUUUAUUAUUUUAGUUUGCUAUUACUGUAAUAAACACCAUGACCAAAAGUAACUUAUUUCCUCUUACAGCUUGUAAUUCAUCAUGAAGGGAACUGGCAAGGUCUCAUGGCCAGAAUCUAGAAGCAGGACCUGGGGCUUGGAUCACGGAGGAACACUGCGUAGCAGCUUGCUCCCCGUAGGUUGCUUAGAUUGCUUUUUUAAACAACUAAAGGGGUGAAAGGGCUUUGAGACAGUAACUUUACCUACAGCACCAAGCAGCUCCCUCCAACUGUAUGGCUUUAGCUGUACAAAGACACAAACUACCACUCGUAGUAAAUGCUCACAUACAAGUCAUUUAUUGUAAGCCACAAGGGUUAAACUUCUAAGAAACAAAAUGCUUGUUAAGAGUAAAUACUUUCUGAAUUUUGUUUUCUGAAUUUUAAUAAUUUCGUUGCUUGUUCUUUGAGAAUUUUAGUUAAUGUAUUUUAUUAAAGACAUGCACACACACCCAGUCCUCCAACUCUUCCCAUAAUCACUUUCUCCAUCUUCCCAUCCCUUUCCCAUCCAUCUUUGCGAUUUCUUCCUUAAAUUAAAAAACAAAAACAAACAAACAAACAAAAAAACAAACAAACAAAAAAACCAACCCUGCCCCUAGAAGCACUGUACGUGUGGCUGCUGUGUCACCGGUGUGUCAGUAGGUGGCAGAGAGGAGACAGGCUGUGCCUAAGCUCAGUGUUCUGACCUUUGAACAGCUGAAUGAUGGUAGCCUGACAUUCCCUGAAAGUGAGACAACCACCAAUGCAGCGCCAGGAAGGCCCAGAUGCUCCCAGGACAGGGAGCAAGCUGGAGAGCAAAAGAGCCCCACUGUGGUGGGAGUGAACCAGAGAGCUGGCCGUGGCCCUCACCAGCUACAGCACUCAGUUUCAGAUUCCAUUUGUCCAGUCACCACUUCAGGAAUGCCAUGCUGUUCCCUGAGGCUUUAAGAAGUCAUCAACUUCACCCUCAGAAACAAAGGAGCCAAGAGUUGAGCUUAAGAAAGCAAAGGCAGAGCAAGGCAUCCUGGGGCAGAGCUUCUAUGCACUGCUCACGCUAAGUGGGGAGCGUGUGGGCAAAUGCACCAGGAUGAACCAUCUGGGACGUCAACUACACCCAACUACCAGGAGAGUUGCUGGAGAACUAGCAAGCACUGUGACCGAACGCCUGAGGCUACCUCUUAGGCAUGCUGAAGUCUGAGUUAUACCUAUUCAUUCUGGAGCUACCAAAGGUUCUAAAAGGCCUAAGAGACAGCAGUGUAGCUGAGGACAUAGAGCAAAGUCCGUCCCUUUGAAGCCACAUCCACCUCCGCAUUACAAGCUACAACCACUAAGAACCUGGACACAUGUGUGGUCACCAUCAGUGUUGGAACACUGACAGGAAGAAGCCGGCAUCGCUGGAACUCUUUCAGUCAUUACAUUACGGCCUGGAAAAGGAGAUACAGCAAAAACUGGGAAGGCAGGAAUAACUGAGCUCAAUCCUGCCCUCAGGCGCUUUGCCAGCAUCCUCUCCUCCCAAGGUUCUCAGAAGGCUCUCUAGCAGCGAGUCACUGCUUCCAAAGCUUAUGAGGUCACCAAGGCCAUGACCAACGCCUAUGUGGAGUGAGGAAGAGAGCAUACAGCAUCACAGCAAAUCCAAGUGUCCUGUGCUUGAAAGGCAAAUCUUUGCCAAGACGCUUUCAAUGUCCUCAGGCAAAAAAGGCGCUGUCUAUUAAAACCUAACUCUAAAGUUGCUAUUAAUUUUAGUCUUAUAUAUACUAUAUGAAGCCAGAAUAUGGGCCAUGACUACAUAAAGUCAACCCCCAGCACCCCAAUCACCCCCCAGAAAAGGCUAAGCAUAAUAAUAUACACUUGUAAUCCCAGUGCAGUUGAGAUCUCUGGUCACCCAGUAUACCUUAACUGGGCAGUCUUAGAUACCAGAAACAGAUGCAGUCUCAAAAAACAAAAGGUUGAAGGCACUGGGGAGCACCAGAGUUUGACUUCUGAUCUCCACAUAGCAGUACACACAGUCAAUAUCAAGCAUAUUUAAUGCUAGCUCUUGACCCAUAUUUAGAAAGAUAAUUCUUUUAAAAUUUAUUUCAAAUCACUUCACUCUAUUUCAUGUACAUUUCCCUUCCAAACUUCCAAAUCUAAGAAUCCCAUGAAUUCCAAACAAAUAAGCCUUUCAGUAAGAUUUUAAGAACAACAAAAUAAAAAAAAGCAAAAAAAUAUUAAUCCAUUCUAUAUUCAAGACAUUUAAACCUCAAUGGGUCCUAGGCCACAAAAUAAGAACUCUAAUUCUAUACAGUCUGUCUCCACUUGGCUAUAUUUUGUCUGUCUCUUUCUUUGUGUGCCAUGUCAGGAUCGACCCCAGGGCCUCAGACAUGCUAGGCAAGCACUCUCCUAUAGCAUCACAGCAAAUCCAAUCCCCCAACCCAAGAACAAAGACAGAGACAAAAACACAAAAAACAGGCUAGGCAAAUAACCAGAGGCUAAUUCUGUAUCCGCCAUCCAGGAAUCAUUCCCCAACCCUCCUCCUUCUCCAUUUUUUCACAUUUUUCCAUUAUUCUAAACAACUGUAUUCAUCUGCUCAGUGAUGAAUCUGACAGCAUCAACCUGGUCUUCCUACCUUGCUCUUCCCACGAUAGUCCUUCAUCUCAAAACAAUACUAGAGAAGCUAGACUGCAUCACUAACAGUCGGUACGUCUUUUAAAAGAUUUCUGAGACAAAUUCUUAUACACUGUUACCCAUGCUGGUCCUUAACCUGCUAUGUAGCAUAGGUGCUAGGAUUAUGGGUGUGUGUGCCACACCUAACUAACUCAAAAACUCUGUCCUCACAGACAACAUUUAUGAGUUUGUCUGUCUCUUGGGAUACAAAUAUAACAACACUACCGCUACUCUUGCAUUUGACAUUGGGAUAAUAUCUCUCAUACCAAUAAGUGGUCCCCCAUCAAGGUUAAACAGAUAAUAAGUAUAAAUCGCCUGAUCCUAGUGCACUCUCUCAGAUGAAUAUUCAGCAAAAAUGUUGCUCAAUUAUUAUUUGAUUUUUAAAAUUAUCAAGUCAGAAUGUAGAGUGUGAUCCUAGAUAGAUAGGUAAGAAGGAGUUUUAAUUAAGGAAAAGCAUGAUUAAAUAGGUGCUUCUAAAGGUUACCAAUCAAUGUCAUAUCUGACUGGAAUUCAAGAAAUAAGCAGCACAGAGAAGAUCGAAGAGAAGCGGCAAUGGAGAAUGCUACUCAAAGGUGAUUUGGAAUGUUAGAGUAAUGAAUUAAAGCCAAAGUCAUGACACAGUGGGAAGCAGUCCCACAAACCACAAAUGAAUGAAGUAAAUAAGGAAAGUAGAAAAAUCCCUGAGUACUCCAGCUAGGAGCAGGAAUUAAUGUAUGCUUAGGGACAACGCUCACAGCAUAAUCUGACUAGGAAUAGGACAUGGGACCAGAAUCUCCGCACAGUAGAAGGGUUACUGUCCAGAAUACAAGAGGCCCUAGGUUCAAUCCAUAUCAGUGAAGUUAAAGAUAAAAAAGAUAGAAAGUAAUUUUAUAUUCUCAUUAACAUCUUAACUCGCUCCUAUUUAACUAAUAAAUACAAUUUAAUAUGGCUGUGGUCAAACAUUAGAAGUUAAAAAGAAAUGUAACAAACAUUUUGCGACUCUAAUUAAAGGUAUAUAAAUUCACCAAAACAGAAAAUUCAGUUACAUUUAAAGGAUAAACUCGCUAAACACAAACUAAGAAAUGGCUGUAAUUAGUCAAUUCAAUAUUUAAGAAUCUACAGUCAAACAAAAGGGAAGACUAGAAACUGUACUUGAAACUAUCUGAAGACAUAAGCAGCAGACCAGGGAACUAGAGAGAACUCAGCCGUCAAGAGCAAGCAUUACUCUUGCAGUGGAAUCAAGUUCAGUUCCCAGAACCCACUCACAACUUCCUUUUAACUCCAACUCCUUUAGGAUCUCUUGACCCUGCCUCUGUCUCCAGCCUCUGCAGGCACCUGCAAUUCAUGUCCAAAGGUGCACGCACACACGCGCACACAAAUAACUCUUUUCUCUAAAAAAUAAAUCAUACCUUAUAGUUAUGAUUAUGCAGCCAUUUUGUUUCUCCUUAGCAAAUACCAGAAUAAAUCAUAUAUACUAUCUAACAGAAAGACUCCCAGGUAAUAAUCAGCAGUAGACGCACCUUCCACUCCACAGCACGCAUUCCAUUUAGCCAAUAACUGACUUGCUUUCCUGAUAAGGCCAUAUUAAACUCAUGACAAUGACAUUCACUUUAUAAAUAAUUUAUAUUUAAAAUGAACGGAGGUCGACUGUGACUCUUAAAAUCGUGUCAUGGACAUCAGGGACUCCUUUUCCUUUAUUUCCAACAUUAAAUAUAUUAGGGUCCCUAAGAUGGCUCUUUGAGUCUAAACCUGAGCCCAAUCCUGGGGGCCCACGUGGUUGAAAACCUGACUCUUGCAAGUUGUCAUCUGACCUCCAAACAGUCACUGUGUGCAUACAAAUAAAUAAGCAAGCAAACAAACAAACAAAUAAAUAAAUAAAUACAAACACAUAAUAGGUAGUUGCUUUUUCUUUUAGGAAAAAAAAAAAGCCAAACUGAGUUGUUAAGGCACUCCUGAUAUGUCUGUCCUCUUUGGCUAAAAAUAUAGCUAAAGAUAUAUCCAAAAGACUUGGAGUUAUUCCACAUAACCAUUAAUCUGGUGCCUCUAUUCCAUCCAUUACCUGAAGUGCCUCAACUUGCUUAAACUAUAUCCUAAUUGUUCAUUUUAGAUUUAAAAAAAAAUGUUUUUCAAAACAUUAUGCUUGAUUACAUACGAUAUAAGUCAGGGACUAUGCUCAGAAGGUUACCUUCUAUUCUAGUUUGCUUUGUGUUGCUGAUCAUCACUAUGACCCCAAGAGCAACUUGGGGAGGAAAAGGUUUACUGUACCUUACAGGUCCACCAUCAAAGGCACCGAAUGCAUGAACUCAAGGCAAGAACUUAAAGCAGAAACCACAGACAAAUGCUGCUUACUGUCUUUCUCCCUCUGGCUUCUCCUCCUUGCUUGUUUAUCUACCUUUCUUAUAGAACUAAAGUCCUCCUGCCUAGAAUGGUACUUCCCACAGUGGAAUGGGACCUUUCAUCAGUUAGCAGUCAAGAAAAUGUCCCACAGAUAUGUCCACAGGUCAAUCUUCCAGAGGCAAUUCCUCAACUGACAUUCUCUUUUCCCAAGUGACUCUUGUCUGUGUCAAGUUGACAGCCAAAGUUAAAUAUGACAUCCUCUUACAACCACCUGAAAAUCUAUUAUCAUUUUUCUAUUUUCUCUUAUCAUAGCUAUCUCACAAGGCAGGAAAUAUAUAAAGGUUGAAAGUUCUAUCAGACCAGCAGUAGACCCACAGCAUGCCAUGAUCAUUGGAAGAGAUAGACUUGGACACCAUGUGUAGUCUGACCUACUACCAUAAUAAACGUUCCCUCUUGAUUUCUCCUUCUAAAACUAAAAUUCCCCUUAAAACUUGUCUCAUUCACAUACCAGAGCCUCACAGGGUUCCCUGUGCUAUUAAUUCUCACUUACAAACUUUAGUGGGGUCUUUUCUAUAUAACUGUCUAGCAAUAACUAAAUAAAAAGCAUCAACAUUGCCAACUAGUAUCUCUUCCUCAAAUUUACUCCAAAAGGAGAGAGUCCAUCAAAACAUUUAGAAACUAGUACCACUGAUUAGAAAACUUUGAAACACUAAAACCACUGAUUAGUUCCUUAAAUACAUCUUAUACUAUGCAAGAAUUCCUAUUAUAGAGCAUAGUUCAGAGGGGAAAAAUGACUGGAAAAGGGAAGAAAGGAAUGGUCAAGUAGUCUCUAUUAUAAAUAAUGAAUUACUAGUAUUGCAAAAGUUCAAAAUGGCGUUAAGACUUGUGGCUUUUCCUUGCAUGUGUGUGGCAUACAUAUGGGAAUAUGCACGUCCAUAUACGUGAGCAGAUGUGCGGGGACAGGGAGGUGGAAGCCCUAACUUGAUAUUAGGUUUCUUCAUUGAUUAUCUCUACCUUCACUCACUGAGGCAGUUUGCCCUGGAGACCCCUUAUCUCUGCUUCCCAAGGACCAGGCCUUUACAGUGCCAGGCGGCUACAAUGCCUGCCCAGCUGUUACUGAAAUUCUAGGUAUCUAAACUCCACUCUUCACACUACUAGGUAUAAGCACUUGAUCAACAGAGCCAUCUAUCUCCCUAGCCCUAACUUUUAGUCGAAAAUAUACAGUAAAUAGUUUUGAAACAUGAAACAAAUGCACCAGAAGCCAAAGGGAGAGAAAAGCGUGGCCAGCCCACAAAUGUGCCAUUCCUGUUUCCACACUGUGCUUUCUGCUUGCUACCACUCUGUGGCAGAUGGGGCACCGUUCGGGUAAAUGACUUCCCAUAGAAUGGGUUCCCUAUAGGCACAACUUCCUCAAGUUCAGUUCAGAGGGAAGAAAUACAAGCUUGAGUAGGCAACAAAUAUUUCUACAUAUAUAGAUAAAAUAGAUGAAUUAAAAUAGUCCCUACUCAAUUAUUCUUAAUUUUCCACACAAAAUUUCUUAUAAUCCAGAACUCUUAUUAGUUUUUUGAUUUUGGGGGGUUUUGUUUGUUUGUUUUGGUUUUGGUUUUUUAUUUCAAAGGUUGAGUUGCCUCUUUUGAGUUCUCAGAGCAGGCAAUGAUUAUUCCCUUAGAGUUACCUCCUGGGCUAUUCUUGACUUCUAGGCGGGGCCCCUAAAAUGUCCUGAGAGGCUCUGAAGUACUAUUCUGCAGAGAGGCACAAAGAUUCCUGUGUCUACAUGGAUUCUCAACUCAUUCCAAGUCACUGGCUCCUAUUUUAUAACCCCUCUUGCUUAUUAUAAAACUCAAAGAAAGCAUAACACUAUAAAUAAGGUAACCAAGAUAGCUUCACAGGGUAUACCCCCUUAUCCAGAGUUUUAAUCAUUUGUGUUGCUUUGGGGUCAGACUUUUUCCUUUUCUUUCACAAUUCUCAAAUGUUGUUUAAAAUCCAAAGUUUAAAAUAGUCUACUAAAAUACAAUUUUCAUGACUACUUUAUUCUUUAUUAAACCUCAGCUCAUACAAAGGCUCAUUCAUUUUAAAUUGCUAUUUUUAAAUGUGCCUUACUCCCCAGCUCAUUGCUUAGAAUAUGUUCACAAUUAGGCACUCUCUUUCUCUGGAAUAAAAAGGAAAGUUCAGAAUUAUUUCCCUUCCAUCUAAGUUCUUCCUCCCCACCCCAACUGCCAUCCUGAAUAUCAACAUUAUUUUAAACUUUGCUGUUAUCUAUUACAAUAGCUCCAUUUAUAGGCCAUUCAUAAAUGCCUCUCUGAACAUUUGGGCAUGUGGAUUUUAACUCAGCUAGUGCUACAAUUCAGAUGCUGUAUGUCUCCCAGGAAUCUUAUGUAUUACGGGCUUGGGCCCUGUUGGGAAGUGGCAAGAUGUUAAAGGGUUAGGCCACGUGGAGAUAUGGGUCCUAUAUGUAUGUAUGUGUCCUUAUAGGGAAUUGUAAAUUGGAAGCUUUGUCACAUAGCUAGUUUUUGUCCUCCCUCUCCCAUCUGAAUAAAGAUUUUGGGGCUCUGGCUCUAAAAAUUUCAAUUACCAACCGUCUGACCAUAGAUCUUGGCUCUAAUCAUGUGUUCACCUUUUUAUAUUUACUCUUAAUAAUGUGAUUGGUAGACACACCUAUCCUUACAUUUCUUAUCACUAAGAUCUUGUGUUUGUCAAUAUGACAAGUCUCCACAUGAAACACAGCUGAUACCCCAGGGUCUGAAGUACAUGCAGGUCAUACCGGCAUGAACCUGAAAGUGACUCUUAUUCCAGAACUAAUAAUGUUCACAAGACUGUGUAUCAUUAACCAACAGGAGGUACUGAUCAAAUGUUGAGAGCUGUCACUACCUACCCCUAAUUUGUCUUCACCAAACAUCAGAUUUAUCACUUUCUUUCAUGACCUAGAGACUGUUAUGCCUUCAAGUAUGUGAGCAAUGACCAAGCAAACUAACAAACAACAAAUGAAUUGGUUUCCUCAAAUAGCUUUUUCUGAGAACUGACUGGACACAGGGAGGCCCUUUCUUGUCAGAUUCCACUGGUAUUUUUCUCGAGGUUGUCUGCCUCCAGUAUUUGAUUAUAGUACUAGCAUGAAGUUGAAUAAUACAUUCAGUUAUGCAAGAUAGUUUAUAGUACCUAAAAAUAUAUACACAUGUUCUGCAAAAGUGUAAAAGAAACCCCUCCAAAUGGAAUCAGGGAAAGCCCUGCCUGUGGAGAAAGGGAUGUGUCCUUCAGAAACCUGCAGUGACUCUUCACAAAGGAGCCACAAGCUCUGCCAGCACAGCACGGCCUUUUCCUCUUACAUCUCAACACCUCAGUGCAUGUGACCGUGUGUGUGCACCAACCAUAUCCUCAGGUGGGAAUGCACACACAGUAAGUAACAAAAUCAGGACUUACUAUUUGAUUUGAACUGCUCUAAAGACUUACAGCUUCUUAAAGUACUGAUUGGACACAAGAAGACCCUAUGAGCUAUAGAAAAGGUGUCCCCUUUCACCAGUCAAGCAUGUGUGAUUUUUUUGCAAUGGAUGAAAGUUAAAACACGAGAAGCAAUAGGCUCACUCCUCCAUUUUGACACCUGAAUAUUAUCAUUCCCACUAGAUGGGCCUCAAGUUUAAUAUAGCUUUUUGCUUUAUUGUCCAAAGCAACGUGUGAGCAAAAUAAAUGGAAGCUUAAUAGCAGAGUAAAAGCCAAAACUCUUAGUAAUAUAGCACCUGGGGUUCCCCAUACCCAUUCCUUCCACUGAGUUUAAUGAACAUUACUAGCACGACCUCAUUCAUCCAUAUAGCAAAAAUAAAGCGUCCCUCCUUUCAGUCUGUUUCCCUUGGGAAUUUGUCAUAAUAAUAAAAGACUGAAAACUGCCCUAGACUUCAUGAAACCAUUAUGGCCUAUGGCUGUACUUCUAAAAUAUAGGUCUCUUCAAUGAGAGGAGUGGGCAGCAAGCAUUUUAAUUCCCCUUUAUAAGAUGGAAAGUGGGCUGAAUAACUUUUUGCAGUACUAACUACCAGCAUGCAAGCCUAUAGUUAGGAAACACUUGACAGACAUCGGAUAAAAUACAGUAGGCUACUUUAAAGGAAAUGCCUCUAAGAUGAGAUGGAUUUCUCAGUAAGGCACUACACGCUACACUGUUAUCCCAUUUCUCAGUCUUCAAAGUCUAUAAUAAGCUGUCAAAGUAAUUUUUAAAAAUGCAUACUUCCUAUGAUAGCUAAUCUUGACCAUCAGCCUGACUAGAUGGAAAAAUACCUCAAUGAUUAAUAAGGAACACUCUUCAAUAUAAGUGUGGAGCGCUGGGCUGUGAAAUGUAGACUGCUUCCUGGCUGAGCUAAGGUUAGAAACCUCAGUGACCCUGCUGGGACAGUAGGUGGUUUGCCUGUUCCUGGGCACCAAGGUUCCUGUCACAUAGCUACAGCGCCCCACCCCAACCCCCAACAGUCCCUUUAGAGAGGUUCGUGGUCAUCAGUGAUGUACGAGCAGUACCCCAAGCCCUCCCACAUGUAGAUAAGGUAUCCCCAAGAAUAUAGGAAGUACCUACUGUCAGACCCUGACCCAUGCCAAAACUGUAUAUAAGAAUCCCAUCCAUGAGGAAUACAGGUAUGUGAGAAUUACUCUGCUAUCUGAGAACUUCUGUCAUAAGAGCUGUAACACUGCCACUAGGUAAAGAGAUCUGCUUUCCAGAAAAUGCCACCAAAAGCUCCCACCCACCCAUCCACCCAUCCACCACUCGCUGGCUAGUCAGCCUCCUGCUGGCCUCACCUGACUCAGCACAGAGCGACCAAUGCAGCAUCUUGGAGCAACUGAAAUGACAGCUACCGCUACCGCUACCGCUACAGAGGGGCAGAAAGGGAGGUGGAGGCAGCUGCAGCAGCAGAGGUAGCAGCAGCGAAGGUGACUCCCCUUCCCUGCUCCCAUUCUCGUUCCUGCACCUGAAUCCUCGCAUCUGGCUGGGCCAGAGAUCUCCCUGGAGUGCACAGGUCUACAGGUAUCUGCAGAAACAACUGGCAUGUGGGCUAUAGCUGAGGGAUAAAAUCUUAAAAAGGAGGAAGGUAGCCACCAUAGAAAUUGUGCGUGUGUGUGUGUGUGUGUGUGUGUGUGUGUGUGUGUGUGUGUGGUGAGAAAAGCAUGUUUCCUCUACCAUAUCCUUUUACUGUGAGUUUAUGCUUUGCCAAAGACCCAGAAACAUGGAAUCAGCCUGCCAUGGAAUAAAACUCCACACACUAUAAGCCAAAAUAAAGCUUCCCUCCUUUCA
Molecule: long non-coding RNA, 21094 nt
Organism: Mus musculus (house mouse)
Lineage: Eukaryota; Metazoa; Chordata; Mammalia; Rodentia; Muridae
Product: predicted gene 15991
Exons: 7
Source: RefSeq, a predicted model, not a curated record